RNAcentral lists this long non-coding RNA (558 nucleotides) under Rattus norvegicus (Norway rat). Its description in RNAcentral is "long non-coding RNA NONRATT014223". Lineage: Eukaryota; Metazoa; Chordata; Mammalia; Rodentia; Muridae. The record is from RNAcentral.
UCCAUUCCCAACCCACUCCUAAUCUGUACCCCACCCAGCAGUGGCCUCUGAGGGCCCAAACCGCUGUGAGACCAUAUACCAAGGCUUUGCUGAAUGUCUCAUCCGCCUGGGGGAUGGCAUGGGCCGAGGAGGCGAGCUACAGACCGUCUGCAGAUCCUGGAAUGAAUUCCACGCCUGUGCCUCUCGGGUCCUGUCAGGCUGCCCAGAGGAGGCUGCUGCAGUGUGGGAGUCACUGCAGCAAGAAGCUCGCCGUGCCCCACACCCAGAUAACUUGCACAUCCUCUGUGGCGCUCCUGUGAGUGUUCGGGAGCGGAUUGCUGGCCCAGAGACCAACCAGGAGACACUACGGGCCACAGCUCCUGCCCUGGCUUCAGCCCCAGCCCCUGCGUUGCUCGCUGCUGCUCUGGCGCUUGCCUGCCUCCUGGGGCCUCUGGCCUAAACAGUCUGGUUGGCCAGCCAACAGUGCCCUUGCCUCCCAUCACUGCAUGCAGUGAGUGGCUGCCAUGUGAGCUCUGCAGAAUAUGCACACUUUUCAUUAAAGGUAUUUAUAUUUACAAC